GUGUCAGCAGCCGCGGUAAUACGUAGGUGGCAAGCGUUAUCCGGAAUUAUUGGGCGUAAAGCGCGCGCAGGUGGUUUCUUAAGUCUGAUGUGAAAGCCCACGGCUCAACCGUGGAGGGUCAUUGGAAACUGGGAGACUUGAGUGCAGAAGAGGAAAGUGGAAUUCCAUGUGUAGCGGUGAAAUGCGUAGAGAUAUGGAGGAACACCAGUGGCGAAGGCGACUUUCUGGUCUGUAACUGACACUGAGGCGCGAAAGCGUGGGGAGCAAACAGGAUUAGAAACCCCCGUAGUCC
This 292-nucleotide ribosomal RNA is filed under the name uncultured bacterium. RNAcentral's name for it is "partial 16S ribosomal RNA". It matches the Rfam family "Bacterial small subunit ribosomal RNA", at positions 505 to 796 of the family's 1533-position model. The record is from RNAcentral. RNAcentral also lists the same sequence under 1 other name.